CCUACGGGGGGCAGCAGUGGGGAAUAUUGCGCAAUGGGCGAAAGCCUGACGCAGCGACGCCGCGUGAGGGAUGAAGGUCUUCGGAUCGUAAACCUCUGUCAGCAGGGAAGAACAGUCCCUGUGCUACUCAGCCGUGAAUUGCCGGUACCUGCCCAGGCAGCACCGGCUAACUCCGGGCCAGCAGCCGCGGUAAUACGGAGGGUGCGGGCGUUAAUCGGAAUUACUGGGCGUAAAGCGCUCGUAGGCGGUAUGUCAAGUCAAUGGUGAAAUCCCCGCGCUCAACGUGGGAACUGCCUUUGAAACUGGCAAACUGGAGUGUGGGAGAGGAUAGUGGAAUUCCAGGUGUAGGAGUGAAAUCCGUAGAUAUCUGGAGGAACAUCAGUGGCGAAGGCGACUAGCUGGAACAUAACUGACGCUGAGGAGCGAAAGCGUGGGUAGCAAACAGGAUUAGAUACCCGUGUAGUC
Molecule: ribosomal RNA, 465 nt
Filed under: uncultured bacterium
Lineage: Bacteria
Description: partial 16S ribosomal RNA
Rfam family: Bacterial small subunit ribosomal RNA
Source: RNAcentral